AUUGAACGCUGGCGGCAGGCCUAACACAUGCAAGUCGAGCGGAUGAAGGGAGCUUGCUCCUGGAUUCAGCGGCGGACGGGUGAGUAAUGCCUAGGAAUCUGCCUGGUAUUGGGGGAUAACGUCCGGAAACGGGCGCUAAUCCCGCAUACUUCCUGAGGUAGAAAGUGGGGGAUCUUCGGACCUCACGCUAUCAGAUGAGCCUAGGUCGGAUUAGCUAGUUGGUGGGUUAAGGGCCUACCAAGGCGACGAUCCGUAACUGGUCUGAGAGGAUGAUCAGUCACACUGGAACGGAGACACGGUCCAGACUCCUACGGGAGGCAGCAGUGGGGAAUAUUGGACAAUGGGCGAAAGCCUGAUCCAGCCAUGCCGCGUGUGUGAAGAAGGUCUUCGGAUUGUAAAGCACUUUAAGUUGGGAGGAAGGGCAGUAAGUUAAUACCUUGCUGUUUUGACGUUACCAACAGAAUAAGCACCGGCUAACUUCGUG
This 484-nucleotide ribosomal RNA is filed under the name uncultured bacterium. Its description in RNAcentral is "partial 16S ribosomal RNA". It matches the Rfam family "Bacterial small subunit ribosomal RNA", at positions 30 to 507 of the family's 1533-position model. The record is from RNAcentral.